RNAcentral lists this long non-coding RNA (518 nucleotides) under Anas platyrhynchos platyrhynchos (common mallard). Its description in RNAcentral is "lncRNA (ENSAPLG00000031159.1)". The record is from RNAcentral. Lineage: Eukaryota; Metazoa; Chordata; Aves; Anseriformes; Anatidae.
UGCCUGAUAAACAAGUCAGACUUUCUGAUCUGUGCUUUCCCAAGCUUCUCUCCUGUCUCUUCAAAAAGCAGUGUCAGUGACUUGAUGAAAGAUCCCAAAAGGAAAGGUCAGUUUUGACUGGAGGUGAUAGGAGCAACAGCCAGUUACCCAUUGUCUUCUUGAAGCAGGAGUCAAGUUGGAGAAAAAUAUGGAUAAGAUUCUGGCUAGCAGUCUCUUGGGAAAACAAGCAAAGGGAAGACAGAUGAUAAAACACCUCUCUAAAAACUCCCAAUAUUUAAUGCUAUUUUUAUUGCAUGCAUGCUACUGGAGACUUUGACAUGUCAUAUUCUUGUCUUUUUCUGCCCAGCAACAAUGUACAAAUGAAGCACACACAAAAAAAAUGAACAGUAAUAUUAUUGUUGACCUAAUUAUUUCAAGGACUGUGUAGCUGUGGCAAAAGCCAUUGUGCUUCCUCUCGGAAACAAGUAGGAAAUCGAUAUUUUUGAGUGUUUAUUUAGAAAUUGAGCAUCAGGUACCAC